Molecule: ribosomal RNA, 492 nt
Filed under: uncultured bacterium
Lineage: Bacteria
Description: partial 16S ribosomal RNA
Rfam family: Bacterial small subunit ribosomal RNA
Source: RNAcentral
AGUGAACGCUGGCGGUAGGCCUAACACAUGCAAGUCGAACGGCAGCACAGUAAGAGCUUGCUCUUACGGGUGGCGAGUGGCGGACGGGUGAGGAAUACAUCGGAAUCUACUUUUUCGUGGGGGAUAACAUAGGGAAACUGACGCUAAUACCGCAUACGACCUACGGGUGAAAGCAGGGGAUCUUCGGACCUUGCGCGAUUGAAUGAGCCGAUGUCGGAUUAGCUAGUUGGCGGGGUAAAGGCCCACCAAGGCGACGAUCCGUAGCUGGUCUGAGAGGAUGAUCAGCCACACUGGAACUGAGACACGGUCCAGACUCCUACGGGAGGCAGCAGUGGGGAAUAUUGGACAAUGGGCGCAAGCCUGAUCCAGCCAUACCGCGUGGGUGAAGAAGGCCUUCGGGUUGUAAAGCCCUUUUGUUGGGAAAGAAAAGCAGCAGGUUAAUACCCCGCUGUUCUGACGGUACCCAAAGAAUAAGCACCGGCUAACUUCGUG